UGCAGUCGAACGGAAGGCCCCUGCUUGCAGGGGUACUCGAGUGGCGAACGGGUGAGUAACACGUGGGUGAUCUGCCUUGUACUCUGGGAUAAGCUUGGGAAACUGGGUCUAAUACCGGAUAGGAACUGCCUUUAGUGUGGUGGUUGGAAAGUUUUUUCGGUGCAAGAUGAGCUCGCGGCCUAUCAGCUUGUUGGUGGGGUAAUGGCCUACCAAGGCGUCGACGGGUAGCCGGCCUGAGAGGGUGUACGGCCACAUUGGGACUGAGAUACGGCCCAGACUCCUACGGGAGGCAGCAGUGGGGAGUAUUGCACAAUGGGCGGAAGCCUGAUGCAGCGACGCCGCGUGGGGGAUGACGGCCUUCGGGUUGUAAACUCCUUUCGACAGGGACGAAGCGCAAGUGACGGUACCUGUAUAAGAAGCACCGGCUAACUACGUGCCAGCAGCCGCGGUAAUACGUAGGGUGCGAGCGUUGUCCGGAAUUACUGGGUGUAAAGAGCUCGUAGGUGGUUUGUCGCGUCGUCUGUGAAAUUCCGGGGCUUAACUCCGGGCGUGCAGGCGAUACGGGCAUAACUUGAGUGCUGUAGGGGAGACUGGAAUUCCUGGUGUAGCGGUGAAAUGCGCAGAUAUCAGGAGGAACACCGAUGGCGAAGGCAGGUCUCUGGGCAGUUACUGACGCUGAGGAGCGAAAGCAUGGGGAGCGAACAGGAUUAGAUACCCUGGUAGUCCAUGCCGUAAACGGUGGGCGCUAGGUGUGAGUCCCUUCCACGGGGUUCGUGCCGUAGCUAACGCAUUAAGCGCCCCGCCUGGGGAGUACGGCCGCAAGGCUAAAACUCAAAGGAAUUUGACGGGGGCCCGCACAAGCGGCGGAGCAUGUGGAUUAAUUCGAUGCAACGCGAAGAACCUUACCUGGGCUUGACAUACACCGGAUCGCCGUAGAGAUACGGUUUCCCUUUGUGGUUGGUGUACAGGUGGUGCAUGGUUGUCGUCAGCUCGUGUCGUGAGAUGUUGGGUUAAGUCCCGCAACGAACGCAACCCUUGUCUUAUGUUGCCAGCAAUUCGGUUGGGGACUCAUGAGAGACUGCCGGGGUUAACUCGGAGGAAGGUGGGGAUGACGUCAAAUCAUCAUGCCCCUUAUGUCCAGGGCUUCACACAUGCUACAAUGGUCGGUACAACGCGUUUUGCGAGCCUGUGAGGGUGUGCUAAUCGCUGAAAGCUGGCCUUAGUUCGGAUUGGGGUCUGCAACUCGACCCCAUGAAGUCGGAGUCGCUAGUAAUCGCAGAUCAGCAA
RNAcentral lists this ribosomal RNA (1287 nucleotides) under uncultured bacterium. RNAcentral's name for it is "bacterial SSU rRNA". It matches the Rfam family "Bacterial small subunit ribosomal RNA", at positions 56 to 1355 of the family's 1533-position model. The record is from RNAcentral.